Molecule: ribosomal RNA, 724 nt
Filed under: uncultured bacterium
Lineage: Bacteria
Description: bacterial SSU rRNA
Rfam family: Bacterial small subunit ribosomal RNA
Source: RNAcentral
GUCGAACGAAGCGCCUUUUGAGAUUCUUCGGAUGAUCGAUCGGUGACUCAUUGGCGGACGGGUGAGUAACGCGUGGGUAACCUGCCUCAUACAGGGGGAUAACAGUUGGAAACGACUGCUAAUACCGCAUAAGCGCACAGGAUUGCAUGAUCCAGUGUGAAAAACUCCGGUGGUAUGAGAUGGACCCGCGUCUGAUUAGCCAGUUGGCGGGGUAACGGCCCACCAAAGCGACGAUCAGUAGCCGACCUGAGAGGGUGACCGGCCACAUUGGGACUGAGACACGGCCCAAACUCCUACGGGAGGCAGCAGUGGGGAAUAUUGCACAAUGGGGGAAACCCUGAUGCAGCGACGCCGCGUGAGCGAAGAAGUAUUUCGGUAUGUAAAGCUCUAUCAGCAGGGAAGAAGAAUGACGGUACCUGACUAAGAAGCACCGGCUAAAUACGUGCCAGCAGCCGCGGUAAUACGUAUGGUGCAAGCGUUAUCCGGAUUUACUGGGUGUAAAGGGAGCGCAGGCGGUACGGCAAGUCUGAUGUGAAAUCCCGGGGCUCAACCCCGGUACUGCAUUGGAAACUGUCGGACUAGAGUGUCGGAGGGGUAAGUGGAAUUCCUAGUGUAGCGGUGAAAUGCGUAGAUAUUAGGAGGAACACCAGUGGCGAAGGCGGCUUACUGGACGAUUACUGACGCUGAGGCUCGAAAGCGUGGGGAGCAAACAGGAUUAGAUACC